This 292-nucleotide ribosomal RNA is filed under the name uncultured bacterium. Its description in RNAcentral is "partial 16S ribosomal RNA". The record is from RNAcentral.
GGACUACUCGGGUAUCUAAUCCCGUUUGCUCCCCUAGCUUUCGCGCCUCAGCGUCAGUAUUGGGCCAGACAAGCGCUUUCGCCACCGGUGUUCCUCCUGAUAUCUACGCAUUUCACCGCUACACCAGGAAUUCCCUUGUCCUCUCCCAUACUCUAGUCCGGCAGUUUGAGAUGCAGGUCUCCGGGUGAGCCGGAGGAUUUCACAUCCCACUUACCGAACCGCCUACACGCCCUUUACGCCCAGUGAUUCCGAACAACGCUUGCUCCCCCCGUGUUACCGCGGCGGCUGGCAC